GCGAACGUAGUUCAAUGGUAGAACGCCACCUUGCCAAGGUGGACACGGGGGUCCGAUUCCCCUCGUUCGCU
RNAcentral lists this transfer RNA (71 nucleotides) under Solobacterium sp. Its description in RNAcentral is "tRNA-Gly". It matches the Rfam family "tRNA". Rfam says of the family: Transfer RNA (tRNA) molecules are approximately 80 nucleotides in length. The record is from RNAcentral. RNAcentral also lists the same sequence under 1 other name. Lineage: Bacteria; Bacillati; Bacillota; Erysipelotrichia; Erysipelotrichales; Erysipelotrichaceae.